Long non-coding RNA from Callithrix jacchus (white-tufted-ear marmoset), 1989 nucleotides. RefSeq lists it as uncharacterized. The record is from RefSeq and is a predicted model, not a curated record. NCBI's taxonomy places the organism in Eukaryota, Metazoa, Chordata, Mammalia, Primates, Cebidae.
ACUAUGUAUGCUCUGAAUCACCAUUCAAUAUAUGGUGCUGGAUAACAGCCAGGAUUCAUGGGUCCAGAAAUCAAGGGGUGGAAGUGAAAGUGGCACCACUCAACAUCACCCCUACUGAACCACUAGCAAAAUUUUUCUUCCUGUUCUCACAACUUUAUGUUCUUCUGGCCUAGAAGUCUUAGUUCCAGAGGGAGGAAUGCUGCCACCAGGAGACACAACAACGAUUCCAUUAAACUGGAAGUUAAGAUUGCCACCUAAAUAGUUUGGGUUCCUCUGACCUUCAAGUCAACAGGCUGAGAAGGGAGUUACAGUGCUGGCUGAGGUGACUGACCCUAACUAUCAAGAUGAGAUCAGUCUACUACUCCACAGUGGAGACAAGGCAUUUCUCCCUCUGAAUGAUGCCACAAAAAGACCCUCACCAGAUGCUGGCACCUUGAUCUUGAACCUCCCAUCCUCCAGAACUGAGCCAUAUGAAGUGAUACAUGCCCAAAACAGACAAAAGUUAUUCUGGGAUGAAUCUAGGCUGAAGAAGCAACUUCUAUAUCAGUCUCAAGGACAAAGAAAAAGAGAGGCUGGGAAGACCAUGUGGUGUCUCUUAAAGCAUCUUCUCAGAAAUGCCACUUUUGCUCACAUUCCAUUGGGUAAAACAAAACAUUUGGCCAAAUCUGAAGUCAACAAGAAAUAUAUAAUUUUUUUCAAGUCAGUAGAAAUAUAUAAUUUUUCCUUUGGGAGGGACCCUAAUAGAAAAUGGCAGCAUACAUUUUGAAUAAAACAAUCUAUCACAAGCCUAAAUUUUUUAUGUAUAUCUAUGUACAGGCAUAUUUGUGUGUGUACAUAUGUGCACAUGUGUGUGUUUAUAUAUUUUUUAUAGAUAAUCAGAAAGAAACACAAUAUGAUGCAAAUGGAGGCCCUAAAUUAUUUUUGAUAUACAAAUAAAAAUAAGCCCUUAAAUUUCUUAAUAAGGAGCUCAGUGUGACCAAAGUUGAGAAACUGGUUAGGCCAAUAGCUAAAUUUUAAGAGUUGAGGAGAUAAGAGCUGAAAAAAACAGACUAAAGUUAAGAAAAGAAGAGAGACAGUAUAGCAGCUGAAGGAGUUUAAUGGAUGAUAGAAAUGAGACAGUAUAGGAAAGGGAUUCAGCCCUGGUAGACCAGAGAUGAUAAUCAAGACCCCAUGAGCCUCACAUAUCAAGGCAUAUUCUCCCCUACCUUUCCAUCUCCCUUAAUAAGCUGACCCAAGUCACAUAGCAGAAGGAGGACCUCUCCUAACUUAGCUGACUAGGCCAAAUUCAUAAACAUCAAAAAAGAAACUAACCGUUUAUCUCUUUGAAGUGAUACCUCCCCAGGUUACUAAAAGUGGACUCUAGCAUUCCUAUUAAGAACCUGACCAUCUUCCACGUUUACUGAAGUGAGGUUCUGGCAUUCCUGAUAAGAAAUGGAACAGAUCCAGUCUGCUAAAGACAAGAAGGACUCCAACACUGACCUUUCACUGAUGUUUUCCUCAUUAUAAUCCCAUCUUAAUACUAAAAUCUUCACCCAAGGCGGAACUUAUCCACCAUUUUCUGGUCAUGCAAUGUAUAUCAGAGCAUGAUGCUCCAUUACACAAGCGCAAAGAAAAUUUUCCCUAAACAUGCUUGUAUGUUACUCCAUUUUCUGCCUCAGCUUCUGAAAUGAUGACAGCCGAGCCUCAGGGAGCUAGCGCCAAGAUCCCUCUCCCAUAAACUGCGCCCCUGCUUUGACUGAGCCACAAGCCUACUAAACCUUGCCUGAGAAAAAAAUGUCUAUUUGGUUUGGUGUUGAUUUCCACUUCCGUGAGACUCAAAGAACUUGGGAUACAAGCUACAGUAACAGAAGUCUUCUUUACGUUUAUUGACUAAAGUAAAAAGUAAAGAUUGCUGAGGGUUUAAUAGCAUCAAAGAGUUAAACCAUAGAAGAAUUCCUCUUCUACUGAAACUGUAGCAUAAGGGUAAGCAUGAAUCUUAUUAUUGCAAAU